This 301-nucleotide ribosomal RNA is filed under the name uncultured bacterium. Its description in RNAcentral is "partial 16S ribosomal RNA". It matches the Rfam family "Bacterial small subunit ribosomal RNA", at positions 509 to 807 of the family's 1533-position model. The record is from RNAcentral.
CAGCCGCCGCGGUAAAACGGAGGGAGCUAGCGUUGUUCGGAAUUACUGGGCGUAAAGCGCACGUAGGCGGUUAUUCAAGUCAGAGGUGAAAGCCCGGGGCUCAACCCCGGAACUGCCUUUGAAACUAGAUGACUGGAAUCUUGGAGAGGUCAGUGGAAUUCCGAGUGUAGAGGUGAGAUUCGUAGAUAUUCGGAAGAACACCAGUGGCGAAGGCGACUGACUGGACAAGUAUUGACGCUGAGGUGCGAAAGCGUGGGGAGCAAACAGGAUUAGAUACCCCCGUAGUCCCUGUCUCUUAUAC